GGAGGGUGCAAGCGUUGUUCGGAAUUACUGGGCGUAAAGCGCGUGUAGGCGGCCUCCUCAGUCUGCUGUGAAAGCCCGGGGCUCACCCCCGGAAGGGCAGUGGAUACUGGGAGGCUGGAGUACCGGAGAGGAGGGUGGAAUUCCUGGUGUAGCGGUGAAAUGCGUAGAUAUCAGGAGGAACACCGGUGGCGAAGGCGGCCCUCUGGACGGAUACUGACGCUGAGACGCGACAGCGUGGGGAGCAAACAGGGAUUAGAUACCCUGGUAGUCCACGCCGUAAACGAUGGGCACUAGGUGUUCGGGGUAUCGACCCCCCUGAGUGCCCGCAGCUAACGCAUUAAGUGCCCCGCCUGGGGAUUACGGCCGCAAGGCUA
Molecule: ribosomal RNA, 374 nt
Filed under: uncultured organism
Description: partial 16S ribosomal RNA
Rfam family: Bacterial small subunit ribosomal RNA
Source: RNAcentral